This is a long non-coding RNA of Fukomys damarensis (Damara mole-rat), 412 nucleotides long. RefSeq lists it as uncharacterized. NCBI's taxonomy places the organism in Eukaryota, Metazoa, Chordata, Mammalia, Rodentia, Bathyergidae. The transcript is spliced from 3 exons. The record is from RefSeq and is a predicted model, not a curated record.
CUUCUGCUAUGAUGUUCUUUCUCACCUCACAGCAACGAAACAUGGACUGAAACCUCUGAAACACUCCCCAGACAGGCUCCAGGGCAGAGCUCAUUAAGUGGUGUGGACCCCGGUGUGGGAUGAUGAAAGGAUGCAACCAACAAGCUGUCCUGCCUGGAAAUGAAUGGGUGACGCAGCCCCUGAGCACCAGACAGGGCUGGGACAGACCUGCCACGGAGAGAACUGCAUGUCCGGAACCUGGCCAGCCUCGGCCCACUGACUCCCUGAUGGUGACCAUUUGAAGGAUGGAGCCAGCCGAUAGGGGUCAGAUGUCUGAUUCCAGAGGAAGCCAGAAACCUCAAAUUUUACAAAAUAGUCCCUGAAAUUUACGUGUUGGCAACUAAUUUGUUUUAUGUUUUAGAUGCUUUGCAUA